RNAcentral lists this ribosomal RNA (433 nucleotides) under uncultured bacterium. RNAcentral describes it as "partial 16S ribosomal RNA". It matches the Rfam family "Bacterial small subunit ribosomal RNA", at positions 29 to 507 of the family's 1533-position model. The record is from RNAcentral.
AACGAACGCUGGCGGCAUGCCUAACACAUGCAAGUCGAACGAGACCUUCGGGUCUAGUUGCGCAGGGGGGGGUAACGCGUGGGAACCUGCGCUUAGGUUCGGAAUAACUCCCCGAAAGGGGUGCUAAUACCGCAUAAUCUCAUCGCACCAAAGAUUUAUCGCCUUUGGAUGGGCCCGCGUUGGAUUAGCGAGUUGGUAUAGUAAAAGCCUACCAAGGCGACGAUCCAUAGCUGGUCGGAGAGGAUGAUCAUCCACACUGGGACUGAGACCCGGCCCAGACUCCUACGGGAGGCAGGAGUGGGGAACAUUGGACGCUGCGCGAAAGACUGAUCCAGCAAGGCCGCGUGAGUGGUGAAGGCGUUAGGAUUGUAAAGCUCUUUUAACCGGGAUGAUAGUGACAGUACCGGGAGAAUAAGCGCCGGCUAACUACGUG